GCCUCGGUGGUCGAACGGUAAAGACAACCGCAUGGAAUAUGAAAUUCCGGGUUCAAAUCCUGACUGAGGUA
RNAcentral lists this transfer RNA (71 nucleotides) under Mycetomoellerius zeteki. Its description in RNAcentral is "Trachymyrmex zeteki tRNA". It matches the Rfam family "tRNA". From Rfam's summary of the family: Transfer RNA (tRNA) molecules are approximately 80 nucleotides in length. Their secondary structure includes four short double-helical elements and three loops (D, anti-codon, and T loops). Further hydrogen bonds mediate the characteristic L-shaped molecular structure. tRNAs have two regions of fundamental functional importance: the anti-codon, which is responsible for specific mRNA codon recognition, and the 3' end, to which the tRNAs corresponding amino acid is attached (by aminoacyl-tRNA synthetases). tRNAs cope with the degeneracy of the genetic code in two manners: having more than one tRNA (with a specific anti-codon) for a particular amino acid; and 'wobble' base-pairing, i.e. permitting non-standard base-pairing at the 3rd anti-codon position. Lineage: Eukaryota; Metazoa; Arthropoda; Insecta; Hymenoptera; Formicidae. The record is from Rfam by way of RNAcentral.